This 1007-nucleotide long non-coding RNA is filed under the name Crocodylus porosus (Australian saltwater crocodile). RNAcentral's name for it is "lncRNA (ENSCPRG00005007556.1)". Lineage: Eukaryota; Metazoa; Chordata; Crocodylia; Crocodylidae. The record is from RNAcentral.
GUCCAAGCCUGCAGUUCCUCCAGGCUGCAGCAGGUUCCAACCAGGUCCUGCCAGCUCCCAGGCCCAGCUGCAGGCAGCUUUUGGUUGCUGGGACCAGUUCCACCUGCCCACAGCCUACCCUCAGCAGUUCCUAUAGGGCACUGCCAUGCACAUGUAGAUGUGCCCACAAAGAAAUAAAAUUAUGGUCCAAAUUCAUCAGUACUUGAGUUUACAGGUGCUAUGGGGCAUUGCCUCCGCUGCGGGGCUACCAGUCCCAUGCCAGGCCCCUGCGAUGGGCACUGGUGGGCAUGGCCAGAUUGAGCAUGGCAAGAGCCAGGUGGGUGCCUGCGGGGAGGGAAGGCCACAUGCCAGUGUGCUGCCACUCCAGGUGUGGCCGAAACUGCUCCAGGAGGUCCUGGAAUGUGGCCUAGGUCAUGCAGAAUGCCUCCAGCCACUGUUCAUCAUCCCAGGUGUGCUGAAUGAUGUGCUGCUACCAGUCUUGCCCAGCCCAGCAGGCCCAGCGGUGGCAGAGCUGGAGGCCCAGAAGGGUGAUUGUGACCCCAGUGUUGGCAUCCUGGAGCCUGCUGUUGGUGUCUGUGCCAGGGUUCAGUCUGGUGGACAGGGUGGAGGUGGCAGGUGUGCAGUGGCAGCCCUAGGAUGUUGCAUGGUGAGUGGGCAGAUAGUUGCUGCAUGUGGGGGACCCAGGAGGGUCCAGAUGGCUUUGGGCCAGGUGGCAGUAGGUGCAGUGGGCCAGCAGAACCAGUGCAGUAGCCAGCAAGAGUGUGGGGUGCUGGUCACCACUGCUAGGGGCAGGGGUUGGAGCAGCCAUAGCGCAAGGAGCACAGGCGGGGAGAAGAGUGCUGCUUCUGUGCUGCGCAUGCUGAUCUUGGCCAGGGAAGUGGCUGGAUAGACAGCAAUGAGUGGGGCUGCCUUUUGAAGAGGGCUGUUGGCUGCUAGCAGUUGCAGCUGGAGCCUGGAGCUGCCCCUGGUUGCAGUAGAGAUCCACUGAAGGACCUUAGGAAGUGGAA